UAUGGCUUAAAGGAAACCACUUGGAAACUUAUGAACCUUUACAAGACCGUCUUACUGAUGAUGGUGUCUAUCUGCAGUAGAUUUCUUUUCUUGUCACUCCAUGGCAUGAAGCUUCGGAUGUGCUUAUGAUCUCACUCUCAUCAGAACCACUGGCUUGGCUUGGAAGCCCGCAAGGACACUCCUUGGCUCUGUGCCACAAACAACAAUGCUAUCAAUCUCGUUCCAGACCUGUCUGGGUGAUACUUAUCAAAUAGUUCUUCGAAGAGUUCUUGCCUGUUCUAGGAUACGCAUCCACACCCCUGUGUGAGGCACCAAGACUGAGUACGGCUGGACCCACAUUGCUGCUGGUCCCGUUAACUCUAUUCAACUCUGUUUCAGAGACUGAUUUUAAACCCCCCGGGAUUGGCAUAAGCUUUUUCACUUAGGGGUUAUAUAGACCUACAAGGCUGUGCUGGUGCCAUUUUGCCAGAACUCGUGCUUGUUAAACAUUUUCCUGUAGAUCAAAUUCAAAGGGAUUCAAGAGUGCCAUUCAACCUUGCAGUAAUGGGCAAAGAAUAGGGAAAAAAAGAGAGACUGAAUGGAGGAUCUGAGUCUAAGGAGGAAACCGCUCAGUACAGGUCAAACAGAGAAUUGCUGCAUGUCCUGCAAAUAUUUGCUGUGAUGGUACAUGGGGGAGAUAUGAAAACAAUCUGAAAAUCUGAGGGAUUGCCAUCUUCAGAAGAAGGGGAAUCAGAGUGCAGACUGAACAAUCCCAGUGCCCUCAGCCACUCCUCAUAGGACUUGUGCUCCACAUCCUUCAUCAGCUUUGUUGCCCUUCUCUGGACGCAAAGAAAGUCCAUUAAAGCCCACCCAUUACCUUCACUUCCUAGAGGGUAAGAAAGAAAGGUAGAAAACAUGGCUUUUCUGCUCCUUCCUCACCUUCUAACAUCUGUGGCUACAGACAGCCCUGAAAGUGUGGAGAAGCAGAAUUCAUCACAAAUAACAGGUAAGUAAAGUACUUGCAUCUAUAAUUGGGUAGUCAGGUAUCUGGCUUUGCUUUUACUGAAGUUCAAUAGACACUGAAAGAAAAGGCAUUUUAACGUUCAGGAUGCAUGGGUUAUCCCACUGGAGGCCCAUUCUCUGUGCCUAAGUGUGUUUCAUAUCAGGCCCUGCAGAACUUGCAGCUGACUGGUCUCAAGUGGAUGUGGGCUUCUAAGCACAGAUCACUUCUGAAAUGAGAGCUCUGGCAACUCUUCCCUUGGAGUAUUUCAUGUGUUCUGUUCCAAUGUGUCUUCAGGCCUUGCCAAGCUUUUUCUGUGAGUUUGUAACUAUACUGAAAAUACGAAAGAGUUCACUCUCAACAAAAUUUGGUAGGUAACUUUUAUCCUAGUUUGAACUGAGCAUAUGGCUUUCUCUCUGUAGCUGUUUAAUUGCUUCCUUCUUGUUUCAUGACAACCAAUUGGCUCAUAACUCUCUUUUCCCUGUGUGAAGUGGGACCUGCGAGCAGUGUAUCAUUCUGCUGUGCACACCCUCUAGACAUGCUGCUGUAAACAGGUACCUCUAUAGUGCAGAUUUUCUUCAGACAUCUAGUUGCUAUAGUGGUGAAAAAGAGAAUACUGACUGCAGACUAUUAAGGUCUUCCUUGCUUCAGGCUAGCAAGAGCUGACAUUGUGUUUGAGGUGGUUAUUGCUGCCAGCCCUUCUCCUAACUCCUGGUGGAUGAAAAACUUAGCAUGAGCCAGCAGUGUGCUCUUGCAGCUUGGAAAGCAAAUGGUAGUCUGGGCUCCAGCAGAUGAGGGGUGGCCAGCAGGGGCAGGGAGGUGAUUGUUCCUCUCUACUCUGCCCUCAUGAAGCCCCAUCUGGAGUACUGCAUCCAGUUCUGGGGCCUCAAAUACAAGAAAGACAGGGAGCUGUUGGAGGGGGUCCACAGGAGGACCACAAAGAUGAUUAGAGGGCUGCAGCACCUCCCUAUGAAGACAGGCUGAAGGAGCUAGGCUUGUUCAGCCUGGAGAAGAGAAGGCUUCAGGGUGACCUCAUUGCAGCUUUCCAGUCUACAAACAGGAGGGGAGUCAACUCUUUGAAAGCGUAGAUAACAUCAGGACUAGGGGAAAUGGUUUUAAGUUGAGGGAAGGAAGAUUUAGGUUGUAUGUCAGGGGGAAGUUCUUUACCAAGAGAGUGGUGAGGUGCUGGAACAGGUUGCCCAGAGAGGCUGUGGAUGCCCCAACCCUGGAGGUGUUCAAGGCCAGGUUGGAUUGGGCCCUGGGCAGCCUGGUCUAGUAUUAGAAAUAGAGGUUGGUGGCCCUACAUGCAGCAGGGGGUUGGAGCUUGAUGAUCUUUAUGAUCUUUCCAACCCAAGUCAUUCUGUGAUUCAAUGAAUUUAGCUGCUAGCUCUGAUCUACUCACUUCCUAGACACUUUACUACAGCAGAGUCCUGCAGCUAUGAAAAUUUGGGAACAGUUAGGUGAAAUGACCUUUUUCUCAUUCUACAGAGUACUUGUCUGUGAGCACGCCUGUGGAAGGCUUCUAUGUGUUGCACAGCAGUGCCACUUACCACUAGAUGGCUGGACCUCCUCUUUGUCCUGCUCUCAGUUUUCUCAAGCUGACAAUGCUUAAAGCAGAACAAUGGACUUUUUGUAAACUCUCUUGCCGCUCCCUUUAUAACUUAUCAUUUCUAGCAGUGCAUGCUUUUAGCAAAUUUACUUUUAAGAUGAAUAGAUGAAACGAACUUUUCAAACAUACUGAGAGCUGUGUUUAUUUCUAAGAAAGUGAUGAACAUUAUGUAAGGCAAAAACAAAGAAGAAAAACCUCCCUAUUGCUGUUCUUUUUGCAUUCCACAAAUAACAACACAAAUUUCACAGUCUUUUAUUUCACAGGUGCAUGCAUGAGUGUGACACAUUCUUCAGUUAAUCUUUCAGACUAGGAUAGAGCAUGAUAAACUCCUGAGAAGUCAUGACAUAGCCACAUAUCUUAGUCUGGUGAAUUUGAUGAGGCACCAUUUGCAAAGCUUUGAGAUAUGUGACUUAUGGUCAUUCUGAUUCUGUUCAGGAGGGAUAUUUCUGUCCCAAAAUAGCUUUCCUUGCCCAAAUAAAAAAUAUUUUACUUACAGUCAGUUUCUUCUAAGAAGUUAAUACUUCUGGGUGGAAAAACACCAACUUCCCUGAGGACUGCAGACUGAUACAAUACACAGAGCAAGCAGGACUACCCUGAAAGGGAUAUAAGACAAAAAGAUAAAGUAUACAUCUGCAGCAUGGCUUUAUGAUUUUUGUCAUUAGUAUUUCACAUCACAACAUCAUGUAAUGCACUGGGAGUUAAUGUUAAGCUAAUGCUCCAGUUCUGUGGAUUGUUGAUAUUUCCAGGUACCUGGUCUCAGAGGAGAAGAACUACAUCUCCCAGAAGAUGUUCACUGUUCCCUUUCUGUUACAUUUUAAAAUCAGAGAGAUACAUUUUAAAACUAAGAUUCCUUUAGUUGUUUUGCUAUUACGUUGUGCAUUGCCAACUUGCAGAAGCAAGGACAGACAGUCCCUGCCUCUGCUCUAAGGGACUGAUACAUCAAACUUGGAAAUGUUGGGGCUCUUCAACAAUUAUGAGAAAGGCUAAGGAAGAUGGACUUAAAGAUAGGUGGUACAUGAAAAAGUAAGGUGGAGAUGGAUCCAGAAGUACAUCUGGGGUAGGAUUUCUUCUCUUUUUCCAAAUACUGGUUCAGGUUUCAGUCACUUGCAGUUCAAUUUCCUUGGAAGACUAUAACAGCAAAAUAGCUGAUGGUAUAAUUACUGCAGUAAAGAGAAGCAGGAAAUUAAAAUGAACUCCACCCAUACCAACGCAGAGAUUAACAGAGAGAAGCAUACAGCAAGCUACAAGACUAUGAAAAACAAGACUUUUCAAAGGCAACUGAAACCUGACAAGAAUAUCGAUGGCUCCUUUUUUUACCUCAUGCACUUGAAUGUUUCUGAUCUUGUAAAUGUAAUGAGAGAAUAAAAAAUGCCUGGGAUUUUCUACUUAUUAGAUUUGCAAGCAAAUAAACUACAUAUUUUCCUGAAGCAUCUUCACUUUAAAGGUGUCCAAAGGGUAAUGUGUGCAGGCUGUUUAUUAUAAAGUGUUAACUUUGAAAAUAUUCUAGGAACAAAAUCUGGCUUAAGACUCUCAAAAUACUGCAGUUCCCAAGUAAGUAUGGGAAUCAUGUGGCUAGCCUGAGCCCUAUCUUUUGCUGCUCAAUCCUGUCACAAACAGUAUGCUACCACUGAGAAUACAGCACUAUCUGCCAAAGAUGUAGCAUU
This 4252-nucleotide long non-coding RNA is filed under the name Gallus gallus (chicken). RNAcentral's name for it is "lncRNA (ENSGALG00010005922.1)". Lineage: Eukaryota; Metazoa; Chordata; Aves; Galliformes; Phasianidae. The record is from RNAcentral.